GAUGAAGAACGUAGUGAAAUGCGAUACUUGGUGUGAAUUGCAGAAUCCCGUGAACCAUCGAGUCUUUGAACGCAAGUUGCGCCCGAAGCCAUUAGGCCGAGGGCACGCCUGCCUGGGCGUCACACGUCGUUGCCCCCCCAUCUACUCCUUCGGGAUUGCGGGGGGCGGAUGAUGGCCUCCCGUGCGCCUUGUCGCGCGGUUGGCAUAAAUGCCAAGUCCUCGGCGACGCACGCCACGACAAUCGGUGGUUGCGAAACCUCGGUUGCCCGUCGGGUGCGGUCGUCGCGCAUCGAGGGCUCGAAAAAAUUGUCGGGCUCCGGCUCGGCUUUCAACGCGACCCCAGGUCAGGCGGGGUUACCCGCUGAAUUUAAGCAUAUCAAUAAGCGGAGGA
Molecule: unclassified non-coding RNA, 391 nt
Filed under: soil metagenome
Description: partial contains 5.8S ribosomal RNA, internal transcribed spacer 2, and large subunit ribosomal RNA
Rfam family: 5.8S ribosomal RNA (bases 1-122)
Source: RNAcentral